This 2832-nucleotide long non-coding RNA is filed under the name Triticum aestivum (bread wheat). Its description in RNAcentral is "long non-coding RNA (TAES_LNC012697)". Lineage: Eukaryota; Viridiplantae; Streptophyta; Magnoliopsida; Poales; Poaceae. The record is from RNAcentral.
AUCGACUUGAUGCUACUACAAUUUACUCUUUGAAGAACCUCCGUAAGUAUGUAUGUGAGAUAGCAAGCAAUGUUGGAUGCCCUCACUGUUUCCUUCUGAUUGGCAUAUAGGACUAUGUGCUUGUCCAGUAUACAUAUCUCCAGUUUUCUAUUAAUUCUUUGGUACAAACGGAAUACAUGUAGCACUUUGUAAAUGUUUCCAUGUGAAAAUAUCAUACUAUAACAUUAUGUUCUAUUUAAUUCCCAGAAGUAAUACUUGGUUUCAACUUUGAAAGACACAUGAAUUCUUCUAUGGGGCGUCCGAACAAAAGGAGCAUCCCGUCACUACGGUAAUUUUGGUCACUUACCUGAACAAAAAGGGCUAUGAUCUCUUAAUGAAAUUGGGGGUCCAUUGCGGAUCCUUUUAUUGGAAAAGAUAAUCUAUUCACAUGGGGGCUGGGUUCUCGUUGACGAACUGAAACAUGCCGCUCUUAAAUUAGCAAGCAGGAAACUACAGGCAUAGUUGACAUUGGACCUUUAUGUUGUAUUUUUUUCAUAUGGUGAAAAAGAGAGUUCAUAUUUUGCAUAUGGCCAUGUUCUCUUAUAGAAUAAAAAUAAGGAUAUGUUGACAUUCGACUUUUAUGUCGUCAUUCUUCCAUGAUGGUUAGCCUACUGUUAAUAUCCUGUUCUCCAACUAACACAUUCUUGCAAGAAAUCACAAUUGAUGAAAUAAUUUUGAGCACUUACUUUUUCGAAUUUUAUGUUUACAAGAAGAUUUACUGGUUACAAAGAUUAAACAGACAAACCACUUUUUCAGAAAGCCAUUUUAGAUCCCACUAAGACAAAAUAGAAGUGUGCUACUGCUAGUGUGUAUACUGGAACAUAAUGCAUGUUUGACAUGAAUGCUAUUGAAAAUUUUGAGUUGUUAUGGUGUUCCUAAUAACUUAAAGUUGUCGUAUAAUUUAACUGAACCAUAGUACUCUCAAUCAGAGAGCAUGAACUUGGGAGUUACUAUGCAACCAUUCAGUUGACUUGUGAAGUAGUCAUGCUUGAAUAUCUGGGCUGUUGUGAUGGCCUUAAUAGUGCAAAGCUAUGCAUAUAAAGCUGUCAUGCUUGUAUAAGUGGGAAGUACACAAAGCUGCUGUCAUGACCUUACUGUCCAAAUCUAAUGGAAAAUUGUGUUGAACUAGUGUGUAUACUAUACUGGAAGAUAAUGCAUGGUUAACAUAAAUGGUAUUGGAAUUAUUUAGCUGCUAUGGUGUUCCUAAUAGCUUAAACUGUUGUGAAGAUGAACUUAACCAAAUUACUCUCAAACUAGAGAGCAAGAAAUUGGGAGAUAGUUUCCUGUAUAGUACUCCCUCUGUUCACUUUUAUAAGACCUUGGAGACAUUUCAGACGAUGUGCAAAACAGUUCAUUUUAAGUUGUCUGAAACGACUCACAAAAGUGAACGGAGGGAGUAAUAGUUUCUGUAUGUGCAGCAAUUUAGUUACCUUCUGAAGUAAUAGUUGAUGCCAUGCUUGUAAGUGGGUUGGUGUCAUGACCUUAACAGCGCAAAGCUAUGCACAUAACAUUCACAUUUUAUUUUGAGUUUCCCUUCAGCAAUUACUUGUGAACUUUCCAGCACUAAACUGUAUUUGGCUGAGUAUAUCAAUAUUCAAACUUGUUUGUGUCGCUUUCACUUUUUUGUGAGCUAUUAAUCGUUCUAUUGGUGAAGUGAAUAUUAAUAUAAUUUAUCUCAAGGAGAAACUGAAAGAAUUCCAGAUCUUGAUGAAUGUAUACCUCGGUUUGUGAGGAUCUGAAGAAACCCUUUUUCCCUUUACAGGUAGUGGAGCAAGAUUUCUUAUAUAUGGGUGAGGGCGUCAAUCAAUGUUGGUAGUUGGGACAAGGAAUCUCAUGACUGCAAUAUAUAGCUACCACGUUGGACCAGGCGCGAUUAUCUUGAGUAUAGCUAGACGGAAAAACAUCUUUCGAAGGUAACCUGACCCAUCCUGUUUAUUUUGUGAAAUUUAAAGUUAAAAUAAGGGAUGUAUUCACCAGCUAGUCAAUCUCCUUCCAGGAAGAAUAGUACAUAAAACUCUAUGCUUAGCACACAUCUGCUAUGGAAAGUACAUCAUCAUAAAGCCUAGUUACUUAAGUUGUCUUGGUAAGAUCUACAAAUUUGUAUAAUAAGUCUGCACGCGUGUAGUCCUUGAUAAUCAAAUUAAAUUGCUAGAUAAGCAUUGCUCAUUACUUGUCGGAUGCCAAAAAGUGAAAAUGACCUCAAUGAGAUGCUGACAAUACUACACAUGCAGAUGAAUAAAUGAUUUAUAUAAUACAUAAUUAAUAACUGUAUGAACACAAAUAGAUGCUUCAAACACUUCUGCUAUCUGAAGAUCAUGCGUACUCCAGUUUUUUUGCCUAUGCCAAUAUAGUAAUUUAUCUUAUUUUUAAUGAGAAGAAACAAACGCCUUUGUUGACCUAUCAACUCCUUAUGGAGAUGGUGGGCCGGCUGGGGUGAUACCAGCCGAGGAUCAAAGUUAGUGUUAACACAUGGCUAUUGAAUUCUCUGUAUCUAUUACUAUUUAUAUUUUUGACAAUGUCUAGUUUCUAAUAGUGUAUUAUAACUGAAUUGUUUAACUUUUGUAGGAAGCAAACAAAAGGACUACACUCACACGGAACCAUGAAGCCAACGAUCCACGUCAACUAGAUGUUUUAGAUUUCAUUUUGUACAACUGAUGUAUCAUACUUGCAUCUUUUACAUGUCCUUUUGUGAACCUGUUGUAUGGUGUCUCCGUAGUUAUGUUUAGAACAGAUUGAAGGCAGACUGAAGUGUAUGUAUGUGACACCUAGUUAAUGGAAUAAAAAAAAUGUUUG